GGACGGUGUUCACAUUCGCCGAUGUACGCGUUAAUUAUAUUGAACUGAUACAAAUAAGUGUCAAUAUCUUAUUUGUUUUACAAUAUUUUUACACGAAACUAAGAAAUCUACGAGAUCAAUAAAUACUUGAUAUGAAAAUAUAAACUUUAUAGUAAAUAAAAAUGUUUUUCUUCAAAAAAAGAUGACCGGACGGAACAAACAUUCGCCGUUAUAUGCCUUAAUAUAAGUUGGUAGACCCAAGUGUUUAUAUCUCUUUUAUUUUAUC
RNAcentral lists this long non-coding RNA (265 nucleotides) under Mytilus galloprovincialis (Mediterranean mussel). The record is from RNAcentral. Lineage: Eukaryota; Metazoa; Mollusca; Bivalvia; Mytilida; Mytilidae.